UGCGUUAACCCUAGCUUCUGUUGUAGAAAUCUGCCUUAAACCUUAAUACUAGUAACAGUUUGAUGGGAGCGUUAACCCUAGCUUCUGUUGUAGAAAUCUGCCUUAAACCUUAAUACUAGUAACAGUUUGAUGGCUCCCAAAAAGGUUUCCCAUGCUAGAUCCGCCACUGUAGUAUUACGACUAUAAGUUUUUUUUGUUUUCACAGCAACUUAAAGAAAUAAGCACUGCGCAACACAGUAGAAUAGCCAUAAAACAAGCCUUAGUGCCAUGGUUUGGAGCAUUUUGCUGCUGGCGUGAGAAGAUGUUUCCAUUCUGUUGGUUCAGCAUUUUAGCUGGCGUUUAGCUAGAUGUGCAACCUAAGGACGUCUGGUUUAGCAAGUUUAAUGUCCAAGUUAUUAUUCUAUAGUUAGAAAUAAAGGUCUGUUGAUUAAAUUACAGUAGUUUAGCAAGUUUAAUCACACCUUAAUACUAGUAACAGUUUGAUGGCUCCCAAAAAGGUUUCCCAUGCUAGAUCCGCCACUGUAGUAUUACGACUAUAAGUUUUUUUUUGUUUU
This 554-nucleotide long non-coding RNA is filed under the name Oryza sativa (Asian cultivated rice). RNAcentral's name for it is "long non-coding RNA (OSAT_LNC001044)". The record is from RNAcentral. Lineage: Eukaryota; Viridiplantae; Streptophyta; Magnoliopsida; Poales; Poaceae.